UAUGGCCACAUCACAUUGAGACACUGGUUCCUGUAUGAUCACAAAAGUUAAGCAAUGUUGAUACUUAGUACUUAGAUGGGUGACUGCUUGGAAAUACCAGGUGCUGUAAG
Non-coding RNA from Acanthosepion pharaonis, 110 nucleotides. NCBI's taxonomy places the organism in Eukaryota, Metazoa, Mollusca, Cephalopoda, Sepiida, Sepiidae. The record is from the annotation of a GenBank genome assembly.